Molecule: transfer RNA, 63 nt
Filed under: Rattus norvegicus (Norway rat)
Lineage: Eukaryota; Metazoa; Chordata; Mammalia; Rodentia; Muridae
Rfam family: tRNA
About the family: Transfer RNA (tRNA) molecules are approximately 80 nucleotides in length. Their secondary structure includes four short double-helical elements and three loops (D, anti-codon, and T loops).
Source: Rfam by way of RNAcentral
GGGGAUUUAGCUUAGUGGUAGAGCGCUUGCCCAGCAAGUGCAAGGCCCUGGGUUUAGUCCCCA